UUGACCUCAAAUCAGGUAGGACUACCCGCUGAACUUAAGCAUAUCAAUAAGCGGAGGAAAAGAAACUAACAAGGAUUCCCCUAGUAACUGCGAGUGAAGCGGGAAAAGCUCAAAUUUGAAAUCUGGCAGCUCUCGAACUGUCCGAAUUGUAAUCUAGAGAAGUGUUACCUGUGCUGGACCAUGUACAAGUCUUCUGGAAUGGAGCAUCACAGAGGGUGAGAAUCCCGUCUUUGACAUGGACUGCCUGCACGUUGUGGUGCGCUCUCGAAGAGUCGAGUUGUUUGGGAAUGCAGCUCAAAAUGGGUGGUAAAUGCCAUCUAAAGCUAAAUAUUGGCGAGAGACCGAUAGCGAACAAGUACCGUGAGGGAAAGAUGAAAAGAACUUUGGAAAGAGAGUUAAACAGUACGUGAAAUUGCUGAAAGGGAAACGCUUGAAGUCAGUCACGUCGGCUAGAAAUCAGCCUUGCUUUUGCUUGGUGUACUUUCUGGCUGAUGGGUCAGCAUCAAUUUCGACCAUUGGAUAAAGUUGAUGGGAAUGUGGCAUCUUCGGAUGUGUUAUAGCCCAUUGUCGCAUACGGUGGUUGGGAUUGAGGAACUCAGCACGCCACAAAGGCUGGGUCCCUUUGGACCACGUUCGUGCUUAGGAUGCUGGCAUAAUGGCUUUAAUCGACCCGUC
This 675-nucleotide ribosomal RNA is filed under the name Inocybe phaeoleuca. RNAcentral's name for it is "partial 28S ribosomal RNA". It matches the Rfam family "Eukaryotic large subunit ribosomal RNA", at positions 1 to 653 of the family's 3401-position model. The record is from RNAcentral. Lineage: Eukaryota; Fungi; Basidiomycota; Agaricomycetes; Agaricales; Inocybaceae.